This 253-nucleotide ribosomal RNA is filed under the name uncultured bacterium. RNAcentral describes it as "partial 16S ribosomal RNA". It matches the Rfam family "Bacterial small subunit ribosomal RNA", at positions 524 to 776 of the family's 1533-position model. The record is from RNAcentral.
UACGUAGGGGCAAGCGUUGUCCGGAAUUACUGGGCGUAAAGGGUGCGUAGGCGGUUUGGUAAGUUAGAUGUGAAAUCCCCGGGCUUAACUCGGGAGUUGCAUUUAAAACCGCUGAACUAGAGUGCAGGAGAGGAAAGCGGAAUUCCUAGUGUAGCGGUGAAAUGCGUAGAUAUUAGGAGGAACACCAGUGGCGAAAGGCGGCUUUCUGGACUGUAACUGACGCUGAGGCACGAAAGCGUGGGGAGCGAACAGG